AGACUCUCGAGCGCCGGCCCCAGGAUGACAAUCACAUCCCAGGAGCGCCGAUCUCUUCCAACUUUCCUCUUCUGCUAACUCGGGGCGGAGUGGCAGUCCCGCCGCCCCGAAGCACAAAGGGAACGAGGCCGCGGGCUGUGCGCCGGCGAACGCUCUGCGCUCUCCUAGCCACAGUAGAUCGCGGACUUAGCGGAUUUCUUGUUCUCCGGCAGGCUGGGCUCCGAGGCCAUUCGUUGCCCACCCCCCUCUGGCGUCUUCCCCAAGCCAGGGGGCCCGGAGAGCCAGCUGGAGAUCCGGAAUGAAAGUCUCUGGGAGAGCCGAUGGAUGGCCCGCGCCCAGGGCGCAGGAAGUCCGGGAUGACUGCCCCUCUGCGCCGGCAGCAGCAGGUGGGCGAGAGACAGGCCUCAGACGUCUGCACGUCUCCGCCUCGCCUUCCUUCUACCGACCCCCCGCCGGACGGCGAGGGAGAAGACACUGGUUCCUGGAACUACCGGGGUAGCCUUUUUCUAGAGUAGGGGUGGUGGGCAAGAACUGCCAGACAGAGAAUCAGCUACACCCGAGGAGAUCUCGGGACCGUCCCCAGCUCCACUCCCACGCCUCGCAGCCUCUUUCUCCCGGUUUUCCCACCGCACGCAGCUCGCACCGCCAAGUCGGUGGUGGUGGAGGGUGCGGGUCCCCUUCCCUUUUGUUUAACUAAGUCGCCUUCCCCUUCGCACGCACUCUCGCAUCCGCCCACGCUCCACUGCAAACACUGGGCAGAGCAGUGCCCAACCCAACCACUGUUUGUUCAGCGAGGCGCUGGCGAAGCAAACACACACAACUGAGUCAGAGGCAGAGCCCUUGCCCACGACGGCCACACAGUUAGAAUACAAAACAGACCCUCUCCUCUUCUCUCCACCUCCCGCCACCACAAGCCACGGACGCACUCGAACUCUGGGACAGACAGGGGCGCUGGUGAACCAGGACAGAAGAUGGCACAGGUUUGGGCACGCCGCGGAAGCUCGGGAUAUCGGGAACUUCGCAUAAUGGGGCCACACGCAAGCCGAAGCAUAACUAUAUACAAAGUUUCUCGCAUUGACUUUGACGGGCGAGAUGUACUUUAUUUCGCGAUCUCACACUAACCCAGCGCCGCACCGGCACCCGCUCGGUGCUGCGCUCUCGUGCACGCGCGUUGGCUCCUCCCCUCCGUCUGCUCCCCUCCCCCAGACACCGCCCACCAAGAGGCCUGAGCGGUUCAGACUACAUUCUCCGAGAGCCCCUGGGUCCGCCCAGCCCAGUGCCUGACACCUCCUUCACCUAUGAUUGGGCGCUGGCCUCCCUGGGCUCCGCCCCCUGGUGACGUAACCCCGCUUUCCUCCGAGUCUCGGCGCCAGAGGGGCGGGGAGGGGCGGGGUCUCGAUCGCGCUAUUGUCAUGGAGACGGGAAGCUGGCUGCAGCGGCGGCGGGGACCGUGGGGCCGAGGUGGCUGCCAGCCGGCCAAUGUCUAAGCGAGGCGGAGCGGCCCAGGCGGCCCGAGCCUGGGGGAGCGCGCAGCCGGCCAGUGGCGGCCUCGCCGGCGGCCUCUUCCCGGGCUCGCAGUAGGCCCGAGUCGUCGCCGGGAGCUCCUGGGAGCAGCGUCCCCGCCCUGCUCCCCUCGCUCCCGCCUCUUGCGGCCCCACGGCCCCUCAGCGCCCGCCCCCGGCUCCGCCCGCCGCAGCCGCAGCCCCUGGCGCUAACGGUCGGUAACGGCCCGCGCGCGCCGCCCGCCGGGGGCUCGCGCCAGCCACGAGGGAGCGUCCGCGGCCCGCGCGCCCGCGCGGCGGAGGAGAGGUGUUAAGUGUGAUGCUUCCAUAAUACAUUUGGAUGCUGUCAGCUAAGUUCACUUCUGAACUAAGGGGUUCCUCCAAAUGUUGGCUGAAAUUCAUCCCAAGGCUGGUCUGCAGAGUCUGCAAUUCAUAAUGGAGCUACUGUACUGGCUAUUGGAAGGAGGAGAUUCUGAAGAUAAGGAGGUAAUAUUAUCUCUUUUAAAAGAAUACUUUCCUCUGUAAUCCUGAAUCUUUAUUACAUGUAAGAACUUUGUGCAGUAGACAGCAAUUUCUUUGAAUUUGGUAUAUGGAAACAAUUUUAUUUUCCUCUGCUAAGUUUUUGAGCCUGCCUCUUCUAGUGCCAUGGACUGCAUUGGUAGAGCUGAGAAAUAUCAUUUAGCCAUACUCAGCACCCUUAAAAUAGCUUCUUUCUGAGAAUUAGAUCUGUGAAGGUGUCCUGCACAGUUCUUGUAGAUGUCAUUUUAGUUUGUGGUUGACGUGCAUGCAUUUAGCAUGUUGCUUAACCGUCCUCAUUCGCCUCCCAGUUCUUUGUUGCCUUCAUUUGGGGGGAUGUGUUUUCUGCUGGAUGAUUUACUGCUAGACAUGACCAAACUCUGAGUAUAAGACUUGGUGUUUGGCAGCUGGUUCCAGUGCUCUGCUGAGAAGUAGUUGGGCCCAGCCUGGGGCAUUGUAGUGUCCUGGAGGCCGGGAGCUCCUGCACAGGGGUUCUUUUCCUGGUUCAGAGCCUUAGGUGCCUUUCCACUUUUCACGUAAUCUUUUCCUAGGUUGGCUUGCUGCUUACUUUGCAGCUGUUGCAGGGAUUCACAUGGAAUGGAGGGCUCCCUUUUAUUGUGGAUUAUUUCUUUGAUAAUUUACCCAUGUGCUUUUUCAUUUUCAAAAACCCAGUGGUGUUUAAGAAUGAAAGAUUCUUGAAGAACAAAAAUUGGGUUAAAUUUGUAUCUAUCAGAAAAGAUUCUAUCCUCUGAUGCUAUGUAGGCACAUUGAAUAUGCAGGCUAAAUUAAAAACAGAGUAAAACCUUUUUAUAAUAUGCCAAUUACUAUAUCUAAGAAUGUUUAUACAGGCUGAAAUUUUGUAAUGGUAUUUAUAUCUGUUUUCCUUUUUAAGGAAAAUAAUAUACUUUUCUAGGCAUCAAAAAUAUCUGCCCCUUUCACUAAUGCUGAUGUACCACCUUCCCCCAACCCCCAACGCUAAAUUUGACUGGCUUAAAAACAUCUGCCCCCUGAACUAUAUCUGGGGAGGAAUAUUAAUAAAACAAUGAAGGACUUCAUGGUGUCUAGUUAUAUAAUUAGGAAAUUGGUUAGAAACGUGGCUAAAACCAGUUUCUUUCAUUAAAAGAACUAGUGUACAUUUAAAAACAAAAACCUUCAGGAAAAAGACUCUUUGAUCUUUAAGUCAAAUAGUAUUUUUGGUUAACACAGCAGGAAGGGGAAAUAUACCAAUUUCAGAUUCUUUUAUUUAUGCCUAAGUAGAGGUUGUAAGCAGCUAAGGAAGUGAUUAAAAUGUAGUCUAGUAAAAAAUGGUGCUGAUUACUUGGAAAGCAGUUUACAUUUGCAAAAAAAUUCAGUAUUAUGACCUUCACCAACUUUUACACAUCAUAUACUUGGGUUAUUACUUAUGGUAUAGCUUGUGUAUGGAAUGCAAGGGUAUUUUCAAAUUGACUAGGUCUUGCUGGUCAUCUUAAAAUAUGUUACAAUAUUACAAAAUUGAAAUGUAAUAUUUUUUAAUAGAAGGAAAAUAUAAAUUUAAUAUCUGGGCAAUUGAGACCUUUAAACUUACUUUAAAAGUAUGAUCUUGAUGUAUAUGAUACUGUUUUGUCUUUGCUAUAUUAACAGAAUUAGAGGGGUGUUCUGCAAUUCAAAUACCUUAUAUAUUCCAAAUUUUAUUCUCUAUAAUGGACUUUUAAAAUAAAAGGUAUAUGUGCUUCAAGAGGGCAAAAUUUGAAUCAUGAGCUAAUUUGCUAAGCAUCAGAUUAUAGAAAAGCAUCCUUGAUUAAUUUGGAACUGUGAAAGGGGGCGGGUAAAACUGUUUUCUGCAGAAAUUUACUAGUGCAGCAACCAUUUAAAUUAAAUGUUUGUUAACAUAAUAGUGAUGGCAUUUUCUCCUCCCCCUCCUUGUGGUUUUGUCCAACUAGAUGUUACAGUGGCAGUUGCACUGACUGUUAAGUGUUUAAAUGAUGACACCAUUAUGUGAAGUGAUUUUGAAAUGAGAGAUUCCAGCCAAGAAUUACAUCUGCUCCCAUCUCCUUCAAAUCAUACUCUCUGGCAGUACAGAUUAUGAUUGAUUUGUUUGUGACAGAUUGCAGGAAACAGUCAUUGAUUUUUCAAUAUUUUACCUUAAAAUUAUUUACAGUUGUAACCAUGGGGAGGUAUUUUCAUGGGCUGUCAGCCCCUGAAAGACUAGGAUAAUAUUCCCUGCUCUCUGACAAGACAAAUUACCUGUAAUGAGUGCAGUAGCUGAAGGGUAUACUUUUAUUUUAAAAUAUGUCAAUAACCCCAGUGACUAAACGAAUAUUGAUUUAGCAUAAUGAAGCCUGAGUAACGUGAAAAUGAGCUUUUUCAAGGGGCAUGGUAAAGUCUUUCUUUUUAGCUGGUUGUAAGAAGCUUUUGAUUCUUUUCAGCCAGCUGGUAGGAAUAUAGAAUUUUAUAAGCAAACCAUCAGGAAUGAUAGUGUUGUUUCUGAUAAGCAACAUCCAAAUAUUUUGACCCUGCUUUUAGUGGUUUUUUUCAAAUCUUAUUUUGAGUCUUACUUUUAGUCAUAGAAUAGCUACUGAUUUGAUGCGGUCUUUAACUGACUUAAUAUUUUUACAAUUUCAAUAUAUUUUGCAUUGGAAUCUCCAGUAAUGAAUAUUAAAAUAUAUGUACAAUCAUUUGUAGAUGAUAUCAAUUAUAUUAAGACAUUUCAGAUGGGCUAUUGUAGUAUUUAAUGUGCCGUAUUUUAUGGUAGAAUAAUUCUCAGUCUCUGGACAUCAAGAUUGCUUUCAGUGGGAAUGAAGAUUAAUUUACUUCAGUCCUGAUUUUUUAGGCAUCAAUGCAUGUUUUCAUUUUUGUCAGACUUUUACCCUCUUUUAAUGUAAUUCUCAACUUCUUAUGGAUUUACUUCCCAAUACAUAAAAUCCUUCAAAACAAGAAUGAUAAUAAUUUUUAUACUUUUUAUAAAAAUAAAUUUAUUUUUAGUCCAUCAAGGUGUCUGAAGAUUUUAUGCCUAGGUAUCUCCAUAUCUAACUUGAUAAGGAAAAUAGGAUAAACAAUGCUGGUAAUAGCAGGAAAGUAAGUAUUUGAAUAAGAUGUCAAACUGAUAUUUCAUGUGAACCUAACUCAUUUUAUGGUAACUAAUAAUUAUCUUAUUUAAAUCAAUAGGUAAAACCUGUUUAGAAAUUAAAAAUGAGUUACGAUUUAAAGAAAAUUCAGAUGACUCAUUGUGAGUGCUAGUUCUCUUGUAGGAUGCCACUGGAAAUGUUGAAAUGAAAAAUGUAAGUAUAUCUUUUGGUGGAAAAAAGGAUAGUCUCUAGGACACAAAAUUACUGUUUUAUUUUUUUCUCAGGAGUUUGCCUAAGGGUGUGACAGAUGAUCUCUGUCACUUGUCUUAGUUGUGUCCUGCAAUAAACUGGAUGCUUUAUAAAAUACUAGACCUGUGAUUUCGUAUGCUGUAAUAUUUCAUUUCUCCAUCACCCCUCCAAAUUAUUUCUUAGUUUGGAGUAAAAUAAUAAAUGUAUUAUAGUCAACAUCUCUUGACCCCUCUUUAGUUUCAGCUAAACUAAGCAUGUGUGUUUGUGUGUUCAUUUUAUAGUUCAUGUGUAGAACUAUGUGAAUUAAAUUUAAGAAACAUGUAAAGUAGAGGAAAUAGUUUUCUGGAGAAAUUUUUCCUUUUUGGAUAUUAUGCCCUUUUCCAUUGCUUUUCUCUGCUUGAAAGCAAAAAAAAGUACCCUACCCCUGUUCUCCUUUAGGGAAAAACUAUUCCUAUAAAGUAUUUUUAAAUCGUGCAAGUCAUUGCCUAGGGUUAGCUAAAACAUUUCUUUUUAAAAAGGAGAAAAUGCCCUGGCUUUAACAUUUUCUUGUAUUUGUAUCUAUUAAGAUAAACAGUUUACUUUGAUACAGUACAUACCAAUCUACUUAAUUUUUUUUCCAGGAUUCCUUUUACUAUGUUUGGUCUGACCUUUUAUGAUAACUUAAUAUGGGAACAAAUUAGCAUAUAAUUCUAUUUUCCAUGUGACCUCAACCAGUUGCAGAAUUGUACCACUACUUUAGGGGGGGCAAUUUGACAGUUUAUGUAGACUAUAGCAUUAAUUGUUCCCAAAUGUUCAGUGCAUCCUGGCUAAUGUGUUAUUGAAGGUGUUUUCACGUAAGCAGUUAGAGGAAGCACUUCACCCCUAUUACUAAGUUAUUAAAAUGCCUCCUAAAGGUAGCAUUUUAAAUUAGUAUACAUAAUUGAUUAGUAAUUUGUCUUCUCCCAAGCAUAAAACAGCAUAGCAGAGUUAAGUGUGACCAGUGAAGUAUAAGAUAUUAGGGAUUGAUGGUGACAAUGAUCAUAGCAACUAAAUGGAUUUUUUUUUUCUUUUAGAUUCAGCCGUUGGUCUUUGAAAUUUCCUGUGAUGUGUUUCAAUCUAGAUGCAAAGAACAUGGAAAAAUCAAAGUGCUCGAGUGGUUUAAAUAUGUUUUGGGUAUUCCUGUUUAUAGACUAUAAUACUUUUCCAAUUAAAAUCCUCAGUUGUCACGCAGAAGAAGGUUAAGCUGUAUUUGAUUGCCAGUUUUACUGAAAAUGCUUAGUAUUUUACAGUAUCACCAAAUAUAUUUUGUUUAGCCAAGGUAUAGGAAAAAUAAAAUAAAUUGUAUAGGUUGACUUUUUUCUAAAAUGUCUUUAUUGGAUUGAAUGAAUGUUUAUACCUGAAAAAAAAAGGUUCAAAAAAAUUCCUUUUUCUAUCAGAGUCAUUCUUUUGACAAUCAGAUAUUAGACUAGGUUUAAAAUAACUUUCUAAUAUGACUCAUAUUUAUGGGAGGAAAAAGACUUGAAAGAUAUUCCUAUGUGUACUUUAAUUUUCUGUAAUAGUCCCUCUGGAAUAGAAUAUCUCUUCCUCAAACAAAUCUAUUGGCUCAUUUCAUAUACAAGAAAAAGUUGCCCUAAAUGGCAGAGUUUCAUCUCUGUAAAGAAGGCUGACAUCCACUUCCUUCACAGAAUCCCUGCAUUUGGGUAAUUGAGUAAUGAUAGAUUACCUUGCCAUUGGGAAAUACCUUGUUGUGGCCUUUGUAGCAGCUAUAGGAAGAUGGAAGAAUUCUUUUGUAUAGACAGGUCUCUAGCCUCUUUGGUGUGGACACUGUGAAGGGGUACAUCUGGUGAGAAGGAGUGCUUAGGGAAGGAACUGGGAAGGUCCACAAAGGCUGAUGAUGACAAAGAAUCCAAGGGCUAUGAUGAAUUCUUAAGCUUAGAUCUCAGAGUCAUAAAGUAAAUUUAUUAGGCUAGAGAGAUUUCCUUUUUUAUUUUUGAUCAAACUUUAUUUUUUCAGAUUGUUAAGUUCACAUGCAGUUGUACAAAAUAAUACAGAGAUCUUUGAACACUACCCAGUUUCUCCUAAUAGUAACUUCUUGCAAUAUACUGUAUAGCACAGCAUCACAACCUGGAUACUGACAUUGAUGCAGUCAAGACAGAGAACAUUUAUAUCAUGAGGAGGAUCCCUCAUUACCGCCCUUUGAUAUCCACCCCUACUUCCAGACCAUCUCACUCCUCCCUUAACCCUGGCAACCACUAGCAUGUUCUCCAUUUCUAUAAAUUUGCCUUUAUAGGAAUGUUAUAUAAUUGCAAUUAAAGUGUGUAACCUUUUGGGGUUUGACUCACCCGGCAUCAUUUUCUGGAGAUUCAGCUUAUAUGUGUCAAUAGUUUGUUCCCUUUUUUUUAGUUCAGUAGUAUUCUGUGGUACGUGUGUACCACAUCACUCAUCAAUUCGGACUUCUGGGUUGUAUCUGGUAUUUGAUUAUUACAAAUAGAAGUACUAUAUAUAUAUUCGUGUAGAGGUUUCUGUGUGAACAUAAACUUUCAUUUUCCUGGGACAGAUGCCCACGAGUGAAAAUUGUGAGUCAUAUGGUAAUUAUGUAGAGUAUUUUUUUUUUGAGACGAUUUGUUUAUGAUUUUAAAACAUAAAAAUAUAAGUUGUAGCCAAAUAUAAGGAAGGAUUUUUCCACAAUCUAGACUUUAUUCUUAUUUUAGAGAAAUACUUUUGAAAAAAUUGCUUUAUUGGCAAACAAUUCCUAUGUAAAGGAAUAAAAGACGCAUAUACUCUAGGAAAGAUGUUGCAAAGCUGACAGGCAACUUUGAGAAAGAUGAGGGCAGUUUUCCAGUGUUACUGGAGACUUGACAUUCAAGGAUGUAUUAUGAUAGUUUCUGAAUUGAUAGAUUCUUUAGCGUUUGUCACUACCCUCAGGCCUGCAGUUUUUAUUUGUAGAAUUAACUCAUCUUUACAAUGCUUUGUUGAGUGCUGUUGCAGAAAAUGCUCAUGUAAUUCAAUUAUAUGCAGUUAGGAAAAAGAAGUAUCUUUUUCUAGUACAUGGCCCCUAAAAUGAUGACUUUCCACAAUGCUGAAUGGAGGAAACAGCUCUGUUUCCAUCAAACUCUGGUGGAAAUUAUACAAAGUUAUAUUAUGCUUUAUGAGACAUAGUGAGGUAGUACACAACCAUAUAUGCUAUAUUAUUGGGGAGACCCACUGAAAGAAUUUUCAAGGAUAAUUUUUGCUCUGAUUUUCUAUCAUGUAUAUUGACUUUAUUGAUUGAUUGAUUGAGAUGGAGUCUCACCCCGUCACCCAGGCUGAAGUGCAGUGGUGCAAUCUCUGCUCACUGCAACCUCCGCCUCUCAGGUUCAAGUGAUCCUCGUGCCUCAGCCUCCCGAGUAGCUGAGACUAUAGGUGUGUGCUACGAUGCCCAGCUAAUUUUUGUAUUUUUAGUAGAGACAGGAUUUGGUAGCCUGGUCUCGAACUCCUGACCUCAGGUGAUCUACCCACCUUGGCCUCCCAAAAUACUGGGAUUACAGGUGUGAGCCACCGUGCUGGCCAAGUAUAUUGACUUUAAAACGUUACCGGCUGGGCGUGGUGGUUCACGCCUGUUAUCCCAGCACUUUGGGAGCCCGAGGCGGAUGGAUUACCUGAAGUCAGGAGUUCGAGACCAGCCCAACCUGGUGAAACCCCGUCUCUACUAAAAAUACACAAAUUAGCCGGGCGUGGUGGCAGGCGCCUAUAAUCCCAACUACUGGGAAGGCUGAGGCAGGAGAAUUGCUUGAACCUGGCAGGCGGAGGCUGCAGUGAGCCAAGACUGCGCCACUGCACUCCAGCCUGGGCAACAAGAGCAAAACUCAGUCUCAAAAAAAACAGAAAAAAAAAGUUACCACGGGUGAAACAUUGGGCUGGUCACAGUGAUCCUUCUAACAGCAGUCAAUAUUAUAAAUCUAGCUUUUUUUUUUGAGUGAGAUACUAGGCCCAGGGAACCCGAGUCUUUCAAUCCUCAUGAAUAUAGUUUAAUCUUUAGCUCAUUAUGGUCAUGACCAUAGUUAAAUAAAUGACACGAGAUAAUAAAAUAGUCUUUGCCCUUAAAACUGACCUGGGUAAAAGGAUGUACACUUGAAUCUUUGAAUACCAGAAUAGUCAUUCAUUCAUUGAGCCGUGUUGUAGCAUCCCAUCUUCUGGCACUUCCAGCACUGGGAACCCAUCAUAAAGAAGGCACUACAGGCCAGGCGCUGUGGCUCACGCCUGUAAUCCCAGCACUUUGGGAGGCCAAGGCAGGCGGAUCACCUGAGGUCAGGAGUUCGAGACCAGCCUGGCCAACAUGGUGAAACCCCAUCUCUACUAAAAAUACAAAAAGUAACUGGGCAUGGUGGCAGGCGCCUGUAAUCCCAGCUACUUGGGAGGGUAAGGCCAGAGCAUCGCUUGAACCCGGAAGGCAGAGGUUGCAGUGAGCCAAGAUCCUGCCAUUGCACUCCAGCCUGGGGGAUAAGAGCGAGACUUCGUCUAAAAAAAAUAAAAAUAAAAAGGCACUACAGCACCUGUUCUCUUAGUGUAGCUCUAUUAGCUCUUAGACUAGGGGGUAGGGAUGGGAAAAAGUAAAAAGAAACUGAGAAACCAAUCUAAUUACGCAUAAUCAGAAAUCCAAAGCUUCCAGAAUUCAUGAGGAAAAAGAACUGCAGCUGAUGGAGUAGGCAUUACAGAGAAUGAGAGGCUUGCUUUUUUUUUAAGUUUCAUUUUAUUUGUAAUUGACACAAUAGCACAUAUUUACGGGAUACAGUGUGACAUUUUAAUACAUUUACAUAUUGUGUAAUGAUCAAAUUAGGAUAAUUAGCUUAUGUAUCACUUCAAAAACAUAAUUUCUUUGUGAUGAGAACAUUCAAAAUCUUCUAGUAUUUUGAAAUACAUAAUGCAAUAUUGUUAACCACAAUCACCCUACUGUGCAAUAGAACACCAGAGUUUACUCCUCUUUUCCAUCUGUAGCUUCAGACCCAUUGACCAAUCUCUCCCCUUCGCCCCCCACCACCCCCCCCCCCGCCGUCACCACUCUCCUCCCCUCCCCAGCAAGAGGCUUGAAUCUUGAAGGAGCACAUCAGAUAGAAAGAGGGAAAUCAACUGGGACAUGGUUUGUUGGAAGUGGGGUGGAAUCUGGUUUGUUUACAGUUUCAGAGUUUGAGGCAUCAAAAGUGUAUGUCAUUGCCCAAAAGUAUUUAACAGCUUUCUAUGUUUUAGGAAUUCACUAGAAAUAAGGCAUGCUUUUUAAAAAAGAAAAAAAAUAGUAAUCUUUGAAUUUAAAUAUGUGGGUUUCCAUGAAAAACAAAUGAGUACCCUUCCUUGAAAAACUACUACUUUGAAGAGUCUCGUAGGUUCUGAGGCUCGUGUGUGUGUGUGGGUGUGUGUGUAUAAAACAUUUUCUUUUAUAUUUGGUAAGAAGGAAUAAGGUAUUUUAUACUUUUCUGGUCUGUUAAAUGCAUAAUCUAUAAGACUAUAAUACUUUAAAAAAUUUUAGUUUAUCUGAGGCUUAAAAUAACAAAAGAACUUAAAGCUCCUGUGGAAGAGCUCCAAAAUUAAAACUGUAAGAUCACAUAUAGAUAAAACGUUAUAUAAAGCAGGCUUUGGGACCCCAGGCAUGAUGGCUCAUUCCUGUAAUCCCAGCACUUUGGGAGGCCAAGGUGGGUGGAUCACCUGAACCCAAAAGUUCGAGACCAGCCUGAGCAACAUGGUGAAACCCUGUCUCUACAAAAUACAGAAAAAAAAAAUAUUAACCAAUUUUUUUAACCUCCCAGCUACUUGGGAGGCUGAGAUGGGAGGAUGGCUUGAGCCUGGGGAGGUCGCGGCUGCAAUGAGUCAUGAUCGCGCCACUGCACUCCAGCCUGGGUAAUAGAUUGAAACUCUGUCUCCACACACACACACACAAAUGACUUUUGGUAAGACUGUACAUAGAGUUUAUGGCCUUAUUAAGAAACUCUUUUGAGCAACCUAAGAAAACACAAGUAUUUCUGUACAUUACUUUGUUAAAGUGUACAGGAUAAUAAGAGAGAGCUAAGAGCCUUUUCUAAAUGUGCAUCCAAUUUUAAGAGGCUAAAAUAGGAAGCUUUCAUAUAGCCAAGGCCCCAUUAACUUGGGAAUCUGGAAAACAGAAGACGUAAGUUUCUAUCAGAGUUUCUUUAAAUUUAUGUAAAUCAUAAAUUUGAGCAAGGCAGUUAUAAAAGACAUUAAAAUUAAGAUACUCAGGAUUUUAUAUGUAAUAAUAUUGAUUCCAAUAUCUUCAACACUAUGGCAUUGCCAAUGAGGAGACCAAAAUGAAUUGUAUUUUAUGAAAGGGCUAUAUUAGACCAGUGACUUAAAAGUUCCAAGUACAUAUAAUGACAAAGCGUUGUGGAAUCAUCUUGUACUACUGUUUAUGUAGUAGUUUAAAAAAAAAAAGAAAAAGAAAAUGGUGCAAUUUUAGACAGUUUAAAAAAAUUUUACAAAUACUGCAAAUCAUAGGUUGGUUACCACUAGACUUCCUGACUGCAGUGGUUGCUGUAUUCACUGUACAUUCUUUUAAAACACCAGGCACUUUAUAAUUUUGUCUAUAAUUGUUUAUAUAUUUUUUCUUCACAACAUGUUUUAGAAUAACUUAUUGCUAAGUUACUUCAACGUAUGUGCCAUCUUUAAACUUUAUAUAUGAGUAUACUAAAGUGUCAUUUGCAAGACACAUCUAUGCACUAUUUUUUUUUUCAGGAGCCUCUUUAUUCAAAAUACUUUUAAAUGCAGUGCAUAAAAAUAGCAGGCCACUUCCACUUGCAGGCUUUUGAAGCUGGAGAAGACUUGUUUUUCACAUGAGGAAACUGAGUCCCAGCAAGGUGAAAUGACUUGCUAGUAAGUGAUACGAUUAAACUUAUUUUUUGACUCCAAAGCACAUUCUGCCAACUUGAAGAUGCUUGUCCCAACUUCUGGAAAUUCACCCUAUCAACGUCUGUAUCACAACCCCAUUCUUAAUAAUAGUUUCUUCACAUUAGAAAUAAAUGUCAGAAAUAAAUGUCUACUUGUCAUUUGUACAUGUCAUGCAAACAUCUUGGCACCAGAUAUGGGUACAAGUAGAAAGCAUCAGCGUGUUCAUCUAAGAACUGGAUUUUAUCCAAUGGAAUGUUCUGUUUAUUCAUUGCUAUUCAUGCAUACCUGCUGUGUUUUAACGUUGUGAUAAAUCCAGAGAAUCAAAUAUGAAUAAAAAUACUCCCUGAAUUCAACAAAGUAGGCAUUGGCUCUGGCCAGGGGACAAAAUGUUAAAUGGCAUGCAGUCUUCACCCUGGCACAACUUGAAGCUUAUCACCUAUUGUAGAGAUGAAGCCAUAAACAGAUCAUUUCAGCACAGCAUGAUAAGGGGGAGCUCCAGGGAUCAUGGUAGUACAUGGGCCCAGUCCCUAAUUAAAUCUGGUGGAGUGUGGGCAAAGUUAAGGAAGGCUUCCUAGAGGAGAGGGCAUUGGGGUUGAUCCCUGGCAGGAACAGGGCUCCAGGCAAGGGGAACAAAGACCAGUGACAAUGGAGAACCUUGGAGUAGUCCGGUAUAGAGGAUCAUGAGGGAUGUAUGCAGAGAUGGGAGAGAGAAGAGAGCAGGCACAGGCAGAGGCAAGGCUGUGAAGGGCUUUUAUAUGCCUGGCCAACAAACUUGCAUUUCAUCUUGCAAACAGGGGGGGCCCUUAAGGUUUUAAGCAUUUACCUGACCAGGUCUGCAUUUUAAAUAUAUCACUUUGGUGGUAGCAUGGGGAAUGCAUUAGAGGCCAGCAAGAUUGGAUAUUGAGAGAUCAGUUAGGUUUCUGCAAGUGGUUGUUGGCCUGAGCUAAGAGUGGCCAGGGGAAGGAGAGAGAUCUGAAUUGAUGGAAGAUGCUCAGAUGCUAGAAAUAAAUGGACUUGAUGACUGAUUCCAUGUGAUGGCAGAGGAAAAGCAUGUCAAUGGCAUCCAGAGUGCUUAAACAAUUAAGUUGUGGUGGGAUGGGGAUGUUUUGAGUUGGAACCCGGUAAAAUUAGGUCUAGAGGGAAAAAGAUCCAUGUUCAGUGUGGGCCCAGCAGUUGGUUUUGAGGCACGACUGAAAUACCUAAGUGUUUAAAAUUCUUUCAUAUUGUUUCAUCUUUUUUCCUCUUAAAGAGCACAUUUCUUGAGAAACGCUCUCAAGAAAUGUGUCUCCUUUCAUUAUUUUUAUUUUUUGUUUUGUUUUUGUGUAGUACAGCUAUCAUGGUCCUGUGUAAAGCCAGCUGUGAGACAGACUGUUCAAUAUUUUGGGCAAUGUUUUGAAAAAGAUGGGAUUUGGGAGUAUAUGAAAGAAGGAAAGAGAAAGAAUGUUCCUAGCUCUAGUUGUCCCAUAAGCAUUUCAAUGAAUUAAGUGUAGUAAAUUUCUGUUGUGCAUAGCAAUUAGUAGAUGGAGAGGAGUGAAACAUUUCAGAGACAAAAAGCAUUUAAGAAUAUUUUUGUUUUUAGAAAUUUGAUGAGUUUGGUUACAACAUAUGCUUAAAUGAUUAGUAUCUUCAGGUUUUCAUGUAAUGUUACCUGCAUCUUAUUACUUCAAACAGACAUUCUACAAAUACAGUCAUGCACUGCUUCACGAUGGGGAUAAUUCUGAGAAAUGCUUUGUUAGGUGAUUUCAUUGUUGCAUGAACAUCAUAGAGUGCACUUACACACACCUAGAUGGCAUAGCCUACUACACACCUCGAAUUUGUGGUGUAACCUAUCACUCCUAGCCGACACAGCUGUACAGUGUGUUACUGUACUGAAUACUGUAGGCAGUUGUAAUACAAUGGUAUUUGUGUCUCUAAACAUGUCUAAAUAUAGAAAAGGUACAGUAAAAAUACGGUAUUAUAAUCUUAUGGGAUCACAUAUGCAGUUCAUUAUUGACCAAAAUGUUGCUAUGUGGCACAUGACUAUACUCACUCAGCACCUACUAAGUACUGGGUACUGGGGCAGCGUUGGCCGUAAGUGGAGACCACAGUAGCCAUAGUCCUUCCUUCACAGAGUUUAUAACCCGGCUGUGGAUUAUAAACCCUGAUAUGAUCUUCCUGUCUGCAUCUGCUUAAUAUAAUUAACAUACAUCAUGAGGACAACUUACAACUCGUAAAUCCUGCAAGAGUGAACAUGUAUACCUCCAGAAGGCACUGCCAUAUUCAGAGGUGGAAAAAGAAAGGAAGGAAGGAUUCAGUACUGCCUUGAUUUUUUGCCAGUUGUGUUGGGGCUGGUGGAAUUGUUCCUUAGAGCAGAAACAGGACCAGAUAUGGACUGUAGCUCCUGUUUAUUCCCGAGUGGCUAAGAAAUAAGGGGUUAUCACUUAUUUGCUCAAAAAGAUGAGGACCAAAAAAAUAGAGAUUGAAUAGACAAGUUUUAGAAGAAGUUGGAAACUGGUACUUCCUUGACAUUUUCAUUUUGAAAACCUUGAAACCCACUGAGAAGCUGAAGUAAUGCAGACUUAAUUGUAAAACCAAAUGGGAUAAUUUUUUCAGCAAAGCACAAUACAUUAUUUCUGUAAUUUUUUAUUUUUUUCUAAUUUUUUAUUUUAUUUAUUUAUUUUUUGAGAUAGAGUCUCGCUCUUGUUGCCCAGGUUGGAGUGCAAUGGCGUGAUCUAGGCUCACUGCAACCUCCACCUCCCGGGUUCAAGCACUUCUGCUUCAGCCUCCCAAGUAGCUGGGAUUACAGGCAUGCGCCACCAUGCACCUGGCUAGUUUCGUAUUUUUAGUAGAGAUGGGGUUUCACCAUGUUGGUCAGGCUGGUCUCAAACUCCUGACCUCGUGUGAUCCACCCUCCUUGGCCUCCCAGAGUGAGCCAUGGUGCCUGGCCUAUUUCUGUAUUUUUUCUGUGCCCAGUCUUACCUCUGUUCCUCAUUUUUAAGGGAAUGAUAGCCUUUCUCCUAUCUAGCUAGUCCUUUGCUUUCUCUUUCCCGUUUUCCUCUGGUAUCUUAACUCUUUCUAUAUCUUAAAAUUCUCCCUCUUCACUUAAUUUCUUUUCCUUACUUGCUUCCAUUCUAAAAUAUCCCCUCUAGACCUACUCUCUUUCUGUGCUCCACCGGGAGCAUUUGUGUCCUUAACUGAGCUUUUAGAAAAAAGUCAAUAGAAAGGUGUCUUUCUAUUGGUUUUCCCAUUCUCAUUUCUCAUUCAUCCCCGUGCCAUCAGGUUUUCUUUCUUUUUUUUUUUUUUUUUUUUUUGAGAUGGAGUCUCACUCUGUCGCCCAGGCUGGAAUGCAGUGGCGUGAUCUCAGCUCACUUUAACCUCUGCCUCCCGGGUUCAAGCGAUUCUCCUGCCUCAGCUUCCCGAGUAGCUGGGAUUACAGGCACCUGCCACCACGCCCUGCUAAUUUUGAUAUUUUUAAUAGAGAUGGGGUUUUGCCACAUUAGCCAGGCUCUUCUCGAACUCCUGACCUCAAGUGAUCUGCCUGCCUUGGCCUCCCAGGGUGCUAAGAUUACUGGCAUGAGCCACCACACCCAGCCUGGUUUUCUUAGUUUGCUGAAGGCCUAUUUGCCAACUCUGAUGGUUUUCAGUCCUCAUCCUGCUUGCUCUCUCUGUGCAGGGAACAGUGUCACUCGUUCCUGGGUUCCUCCUUGGCCCCUGCCUGUGUUGCUUUUGCUGGCCACCUCGUUUGGUGUAUCCCUCAAAGGUAGCUCCUCUCUGCAGCUCCACCUCCCACCUCAGUGCUCUCCUUGGCCCAAGCCUGGGUAUGGAGAGCUCAGCUGUCUACCAGGACAGCUCCUGAUUGCCCCUCCUCUGGCUCCUCUGCCCUGAGCCUGUCUCUCUCUAUACCCUCCUCCUCAUCAUGUUUUGGGUCAUGGCAUCACUCUUGCCCCAGUUACCCAAUCAGUACAUGUUCCUCUUCAUCAGGUUGGGUCAAUUCUGCCUUCUAGCCCCCUCAAAGCUCACACCUGGGUCUGUUCCACCAUCAGCGAUACUUGAACAAAGGGCUGGGGACCCAGGGUUGAGGAAUCAACGUCUCCAUACCUAGAAAGGCCACAGUCCACAGUGCAACUCCAAGUGUGCUCCAUAGACUGACAGCCCACAUAUAUUUUUUAAAAAAUAGGCUUAAUUUUUAGAGCAGUUUUUGGUUCAUAGUAAAAUUGAGCAGAAGGUACAAAAGUUUCCCACAUACCUGCUACCCCCACACAUACACAGCUUCUCUCAUCGACAUCCCACACCAGAAUGGUGCGUUUGUUACAAUUGCUGAACCUACAUUAACACAUCAUUAUCACCCAAAGUCCAUAGUUUACAUUAGGGUUCACAGUUCAUGUUGUACAUUCUAUGGGUUUGGACAAAGCUAUAAUGACAUGUUUCUACCACUAUAGUAUCAUACAGAGUCAGUUCACCACCCUAAAAAUCUUCUGGGUUCUGCCUGUUCAUCCCUCCCUCUUCCUAACACCUGGCAACAGCUGAUCUUUUCAGUAUAUCCAUAGUUUUGCCUUUCUAAGAAUUGCAUAUAAUUGGAAUCAUGUAGUAUGUAGCCUUUUAACACUGGCUUCUUUCACUUAGUCAUAUGUAUUUGUUACCUCCAUAUCAUUUCAUGACUUCAUAACUCAUUUUUUUUAGCACUGAAUAAUAUUCCAUCAUCUGGAUAUACCACAGUUUUUUUUACCCAUUCACCUACUAAAGAACAUGGUUGCCUCCAUGUUCUGGCAAUUAUGAAUGAAGCUAUUGUAAACCUGUGUGCAGGUUCUUGGGUCGACAUAAAUUUUCACCUCCUUUGGGUAAAUACCGAAGAAUGUGAUAAUGUGAUUGCUAGAUCAAACAUUAAAAUUAUGCUUAGGUUUGUUAGAAGCUGCCAAACUUUCAUAGUGACUGGACCAUUUUGCAUUUCCACCAGCAAUGAAUGAGAGUUACUGUUUCUUCACAUCCAUGUCAGCGUUUGGUGUUGUCAGUGUUCUGGCUUUUGGCUAUUUUAAUAGGUGUGUAGUGGCCUCUCAUUUGCAUUUCCCUAAGGACAUAUAAUGGGGAGCAUUAUAUGCCUAUUUGCCAUUUGUAUUUCUUCUUUUUGAAAAAUUAAUUUUGAUAAGAAAUACUUAACAUAAGAUCUAACCUCUUAACAAAUGUUAAAGUGUACAAUGUACACAGUUAACACUCUGUUGUUAACUAUAGAGACAAUGCUGUACAUUGGAUCUCCAGAUCCACAUCUUGCAUAAUUGAGACUUUAUGUGUGAUGAUUGAGCAGCUUCCCAUUCCCCCAUCCCGAUUCCCUGGCAAGCAUAAUUCUGCUCUCUGAUUUGAUGAGUUUACUAUUCUGGGUACCUCAUAUAAGUGGAGUCAUGUAGUAUUUGUCUUUCCAUGACUGGCUUAUUUCACUUAGCAUAAUGACCUCAAGGUUCAUCCAUGUUGUAGCACGUGUCGGAAUGUCCUUCUUUUUUCAGGCUAAAUAAUAUCCCACUGUAUGUAUAUGCCACCAUUUAAAUAAUCCAUUCAUCUGCCAAAGAACAUCAGGUUGUUGUCGCCACUUCUUGACUACUGUGAGUAGUGCUGCAGUGAGCAUUGGAGUGCUAAUAUCUGUUUGAGAUCCUGAUUUCAAUGGUUUUAGAUUGGAUUGCUGCAUCAUACAGUAUUUUUAUUUUUAAUUUUCUGAGAAAUUUUUAUACUGUUUUCCAUAGUGGCUGCAUCAUUUUGUAUUCUCAUCAAUAGUACAAGGUUUCCCAUUUCUCCACAUCCUUACCAACAUGCUUUUUUAUUUUUUUUUUGAUAAUAGCCAUUAUCUAAACAGGUGUGAGGUAGUAUCUCAUGGUUUUGACUUGCACUUCUCUGAUGAUUAGUGUGAUGUUGAGUAUUUUUCAUAUACAUGUUGGCCAUUUUUGUCUUCUUUGAAGAAAUGUCUAUUCGAGUCCAGGCCCAUUUUUACGUUGGAUUAUUAGUGUUUUUGCUAUUGAGUUGCAGGAGUUUAUUUAAUUUCUGAAAUUAGAUAUUACCACAUAGGCUGGGCGUGGUGGCUCACACCUGUAAUCCCAGCAAUUUGGGAGGCUGAGGUGGGAGGAUCACUUGAGGUCAGGAGUUCAAGACCAGCCUGGCCAAAAUGGUGAAACCCCAUCUCUACUAAAAAUACAAAAAAAUUAGCUGGGCAUGGUGCUGCACGGCUGUGGUCCCAGCUACUGAAGAGGCUGAGGCAGAAGAAUCGCUUGAACCUGGGAGGUGGAGGUUGCAGUGAGCCGAGUUCAUGCCACUGCACUCCAGCCUAGGCAACAGAGCAAGACUCCGUUUCACAAAAAAAAAAAAAAAAAAAAAAAAAAUGACCAUAUAUGUGUGGGAUGAUUUUCCAUCCAUAUUAUAUCUUCUUUGGUGAGAUGUCUGUUAAGGCAUUUGGCACACCCCCACUUUUUUUUUGAGAGAGGGUCUCACUCUGUCACCAAAGCUGGAAUGCAGUGGUGUGAUCACUGCUUACUGCAGCCUCUACUUUCCAGACUCAAGCAAUCCUCUGCCUCAGCCUCCUGAGUAGCUGGGACCACGGGUGCGUGCCAUCACACCUGGAUAAUUUAAUUUCUGAAAUUAAAUAAUAAAUCUUUAAUUUCUGAAAUUAACUUCUUAUCUGACAUAUGGUUUGCAAAUAUUCCCUCCCAUUCCUUAGGUUGCUUUUUCACUCUGUUGAUUGUUUCCUUUGCUGUGGAAAAGCUUCUUAGUUUGAUGGACUCCCACUUGUCUAUUUUUGUUUUUGCUGCCUGUGCUUUUGGUGUUAUAUCCAUGAAGUCAUUGCCAAGACCAAUGUCUUGAUACUUUUCUACUAUGUUUUCUUCUAGCAGUUUUACAUUUUCAGGUCUUACAUUUAAGUCUUUAAUCAAUUUCAAUUAAUUUUUGUUUAUGGUAUAAGGGUCCAGUUUCAUUCUAUUGCAUGUGGAUAUCCAGUUUUCCCAAUACCAUUUGUUGAAGAGACUGCCUUUUCCCUAUUGCGUAUACUUGGCGCCCUUGUCGAAGAUCAGUCGACCAUAUAUUUGUGGGAUGAUUUUCCAUCUGUAUGUCUUCUUUGGUGAGAUGUCUGUUAAGGCAUUUAGCCUCCCCCCCAACAUCUUUUUUUUUUUUUUUUUUUUUUGAGACAGGGUCUGACUGUCAGCAAAGCUAAAAGUGCAGUGGUACAAUCACUGCUUACUGCAGCCUCUACCUCCCGGGCUCAAGCAACCCGUUUCCUCAGCCUCCAGAGUAGCUAGAACCACAGGCACACACCACCAUGCCUGGUUAAAUUUUUUAAAUUUGUUUGUAGAGAUGGGAUUUCCCCAUGUUCCCAGACCGAUCUCGAACACCUGGCUUCAAGUAAUCCUCCUGCCUCAGCCUCCCAAUCUGCUGGGAUUACAAGCAUGGGCCACCAUACACAACUUGGCCCAUUUUUAAAAUCAGGUUGCUUGUUUUCCUAUUUUUAAGUUUAAGAGUUCUUUGUGUAUUUUGUAUAACAGUCCUUUAUCAGAUAUAUCUUUUCCAAAUAUUUUUUCUCAGUCCCUGG
This 19697-nucleotide long non-coding RNA is filed under the name Homo sapiens (human). RNAcentral's name for it is "non-protein coding lnc-IRX3-80:2". The stretch from base 18188 to 18304 matches the Rfam family "Metazoan signal recognition particle RNA". Lineage: Eukaryota; Metazoa; Chordata; Mammalia; Primates; Hominidae. The record is from RNAcentral.